AAAGUCGUAACAAGGUCUCCGUUGGUGAACCAGCGGAGGGAUCAUUACCGAGUUUACAACUCCCAAACCCACUGUGAACUUAUACCCAAAACGUUGCCUCGGCGGGCACAGCGGUACCCGAGCCCCCCGCAAGGGAGGCAGAGGCGCCCGCCCGCCAGGGGACCAAAACUCUUCUGUAUACCCAUAGCGGCAUGUCUGAGUGGAUUUAAAAACAAAUGAAUCAAAACUUUCAACAACGGAUCUCUUGGUUCUG
RNAcentral lists this unclassified non-coding RNA (253 nucleotides) under Ascomycota sp. Its description in RNAcentral is "partial contains small subunit ribosomal RNA, internal transcribed spacer 1, and 5.8S ribosomal RNA". The stretch from base 1 to 47 matches the Rfam family "Eukaryotic small subunit ribosomal RNA", at positions 1785 to 1831 of the family's 1831-position model. The record is from RNAcentral. Lineage: Eukaryota; Fungi; Ascomycota.